UGGGGGAUAUUGCACAAUGGGCGAAAGCCUGAUGCAGCGACGCCGCGUGGGGGAUGAAGGCCUUCGGGUUGUAAACUUCUUUUGCUCUGAACAAGGCAUGCUAAUGGGUGUGUUGAGUGUAGGGGUUGAUUAGCGCCGGCUAACUACGUGCCAGCAGCCGCGGUAAUACGUAGGGCGCGAGCGUUGUCCGGAAUUAUUGGGCGUAAAGGGCUUGUAGGUGGCUGGUUGAGUCUGUCGUGAAAGCUCAUGGCUUAACUGUGGGUUUGCGGUGGGUACGGGCUGGCUUGAGUGCAGUAGGGGAGGCUGGAAUUCCUGGUGUGGCGGUGGAAUGCGCAGAUAUCAGGAGGAAUACCGGUGGCGAAGGCGGGUCUCUGGGCUGUUACUGACACUGAGGAGCGAAAGCAUGGGGAGCGAACAGG
This 419-nucleotide ribosomal RNA is filed under the name bacterium. Its description in RNAcentral is "partial 16S ribosomal RNA". It matches the Rfam family "Bacterial small subunit ribosomal RNA", at positions 355 to 776 of the family's 1533-position model. The record is from RNAcentral.